RNAcentral lists this ribosomal RNA (458 nucleotides) under uncultured bacterium. Its description in RNAcentral is "bacterial SSU rRNA". It matches the Rfam family "Bacterial small subunit ribosomal RNA", at positions 29 to 507 of the family's 1533-position model. The record is from RNAcentral.
AGCGAACGCUGGCGGCAGGCUUAACACAUGCAAGUCGAACGCCAUCUUCGGAUGGAGUGGCAGACGGGUGAGUAACGCGUGGGAACGUACCCUUUGGUUCGGAAUAUUCUCGGGAAACUGGGAGCAAUACCGGAUAAGCCCUACGGGGGAAGAUUUAUCGCCAAAGGAGCGGCCCGCGUCAGAUUAGGUAGUUGGUGGGGUAAAGGCCUACCAAGCCUACGAUCUGUAGCUGGUCUGAGAGGAUGAUCAGCCACACUGGGACUGAGACACGGCCCAGACUCCUACGGGAGGCAGCAGUGGGGAAUUUUGGACAAUGGACGCAAGUCUGAUCCAGCAAUGCCGCGUGCAGGACGAAGGCCUUCGGUUGGUAAACUGCUUUGUUACAGAACGAAAAGGACUCUGGUUAAUACCUGGGGCUCAUGACGGUACUGUAAGAAUAAGCACCGGCUAACUACGUG